CCUACGUGAGGCAGCAGUAGGGAAUCUUCCACAAUGGGCGAAAGCCUGAUGGAGCAACGCCGCGUGGGUGAAGAAGGUCUUCGGAUCGUAAAACCCUGUUGUUAGAGAAGAAAGUGCGUGAGAGUAACUGUUCACGUUUCGACGGUAUCUAACCAGAAAGCCACGGCUAAAUACGUGCCAGCAGCCGCGGUAAUACGUAGGUGGCAAGCGUUAUCCGGAUUUAUUGGGCGUAAAGGGAACGCAGGCGGUCUUUUAAGUCUGAUGUGAAAGCCUUCGGCUUAACCGGAGUAGUGCAUUGGAAACUGGGAGACUUGAGGGCAGAAGAGGAGAGUGGAACUCCAUGUGUAGCGGUGAAAUGCGUAGAUAUAUGGAAGAACACCAGUGGCGAAAGCGGCUCUCUGGUCUGUAACUGACGCUGAGGUUCGAAAGCGUGGGUAGCAAACAGGAUUAGAUACCCCUGUAGUC
Molecule: ribosomal RNA, 465 nt
Filed under: uncultured bacterium
Lineage: Bacteria
Description: partial 16S ribosomal RNA
Rfam family: Bacterial small subunit ribosomal RNA
Source: RNAcentral